GUUAAAAAGCUCGUAGUUGGAUUUCUGUUGAGGAUGGCCGGUCCGCUCUAUGAGCGUGUAUCUGGUUCAGCCUUGGCAUCCUCUUGGGGAACGUAGCUACGCUUGAUUGCGCGGUGCGGUAUUCAAGACUUUUACUUUGAGGAAAUUAGAGUGUUCACGGCAGGCAUUCGCCUUGAAUAUAUUAGCAUGGAAUAAUAACAUAGGACCUUGGUUCUAUUUUGUCGGUUUCUAGAACUAAGGUGAUGAUUAAUAGGGAUAAUUGGGGGCAUUUGUAUUAACGCGUCAGAGGUGGAAUUCUUGGAUUGCGUUACGACAAACUACUGCGAAAGCAUUUGCCAAGGAUGUUUUCAUUGAUCAAGAACGAAAGUGAGGGGAUCGAAGACGAUUAGAUACCGUCGUAGUCUUCACCAUAAACUAUGCCAACUAGAGAUUGGAGGUCGUUCUUUUUAUGACUCCUUCAGCACCUUAUGAGAAAUCAAAGUCUUUGGGUUCCGGGGGGAGUAUGGUCGCAAGGCUGAAACUUAAAGGAAUUGACGGAAGGGCACCACCAGGAGUGGAGCCUGCGGCUUAAUUUGACUCAACACGGGGAAACUUACCGGG
RNAcentral lists this ribosomal RNA (600 nucleotides) under uncultured eukaryote. RNAcentral's name for it is "SSU rRNA". It matches the Rfam family "Eukaryotic small subunit ribosomal RNA", at positions 618 to 1222 of the family's 1831-position model. The record is from RNAcentral.